GAUGGAACGUAGCAAAAUGCGAUAAGUAAUGUGAAUUGCAGAAUUCAGUGAAUCAUCGAAUCUUUGAACGCACAUUGCGCCCUCUGGUAUUCCGGGGGGCAUGCCUGUUCGAGCGUCAUUAUAACCACUCAAGCUCUCGCUUGGUAUUGGGGCUCGCGGUUCCGCGGCCCCUAAAAUCAGUGGCGGUGCCUGUCGGCUCUACGCGUAGUAAUACUCCUCGCGAUUGAGUUCCGGUAGGUCUACUUGCCAGCAACCCCCAAUUUUUACAGGUUGACCUCGGAUCAGGUAGGGAUACCCGCUGAACUUAAGCAUAUCAAUAAGCGGAGGA
RNAcentral lists this unclassified non-coding RNA (328 nucleotides) under soil metagenome. RNAcentral's name for it is "partial contains 5.8S ribosomal RNA, internal transcribed spacer 2, and large subunit ribosomal RNA". The stretch from base 4 to 118 matches the Rfam family "5.8S ribosomal RNA", at positions 40 to 154 of the family's 154-position model. The record is from RNAcentral.